Non-coding RNA from Tuber magnatum (white Piedmont truffle), 72 nucleotides. NCBI's taxonomy places the organism in Eukaryota, Fungi, Ascomycota, Pezizomycetes, Pezizales, Tuberaceae. The record is from the annotation of a GenBank genome assembly.
GGCCGGAUGGCGCAAUGGUAGCGCGCAGUCCUCCUAAGACUGAGGCUCUGGGUUCGAGUCCCAGUUCGGUCG